UUUAUUGUAGUUUAAUUAGAGAACGUGUGAUUUUGGGUCACAAGGAUUAAAGGGCAUUUUUUCAAUGGGG
This 70-nucleotide transfer RNA is filed under the name Phallusia mammillata. RNAcentral describes it as "transfer RNA-Gln". Lineage: Eukaryota; Metazoa; Chordata; Ascidiacea; Phlebobranchia; Ascidiidae. The record is from RNAcentral.